CCGGAUCCAAGUAGAAUACAAAUCAUACAAUCUGAUCAAGAUGUGCAAAUGUGUGGAUGAAAUAUGGUGGAAAGGUGUAUGGACUCCUUUUGUAUGAUUCCAUCUCUCUCCUUUUUCUCUUCCUUUUAAACAUAGGCUAUCUUUUUCUCUCUCUUUUUUCUUCCUUUUCUUCUCUCUUUUUUUCCAUCAUGCUUUGAGCAUGGCUCCUUCUUUUUUCUUUUCUUUUUGCAUAGCCCAUGUCUCUUUUGCAAGGGUACUUUUGGAGAGAGAGGUCACAACACAUGUGGAGCUUUAUUUUGUGGAUGGAUGAAUGGGACGUUACUAGCUUCCAGUGUAGAAGUCUACAAUGUGGAAGUGGGGUGUAUGUGAUCUUGAUCAUGAAAGUAUGAAAAAUAUUCCACAAGGGUCACAACAAUUUGGCAAAGCUCAACCUGAUGGCAAGCAGUAUAUGUAUAUAGGUUUUUUCAAUAAGAUCAACAUAUGGCUUUGGUAUGACGGAGGCAUAUCAUUGAGGAGCUAGCUAGGUCAUUGAUUUUUUUCCAAGAUAAAUUUCCCAAGUACUUUGGAAAGAAUAGAGCAAGAUUCAUU
This 588-nucleotide long non-coding RNA is filed under the name Setaria viridis. RNAcentral describes it as "long non-coding RNA (SVIR_LNC006696)". Lineage: Eukaryota; Viridiplantae; Streptophyta; Magnoliopsida; Poales; Poaceae. The record is from RNAcentral.